AGGACGAACGCUGGCGGCGUGCCUAACACAUGCAAGUCGAACGGGACCAGGGGCAACUCUGGUUCAGUGGCGGACGGGUGCGUAACACGUGAGGAACAUGACCUUCGGCGGGGGAUAGCCGGCCCAACGGCCGGGUAAUACCGCGUACGACCACAUGGGGACAUCCCUGAGUGGUGAAAGCAGCAAUGCGCCGAUGGAGUGCCUCGCGGCCUAUCAGCUAGUUGGUGAGGUAACGGCCACCAAGGCGACGACGGGUA
Molecule: ribosomal RNA, 257 nt
Filed under: uncultured soil bacterium
Lineage: Bacteria
Description: partial 16S ribosomal RNA
Rfam family: Bacterial small subunit ribosomal RNA
Source: RNAcentral